GUCAGUGGGGUUAUCAUAGUGAUAUAGGGAGAGUCAGUGAGGUUAUCAUAGUGGUAUAGGGAGAGUCAGUGAGGUUAUCAUAGUGAUAUAGGGAGAGUCAGUGAGGUUACCAUAGUGAUAUAGGGAGAGUCAGUGGGGUUACCAUAGUGAUAUAGUGAGGGAGAGUCAGUGAGGUUAUCAUAGUGAUAUAGGGAGGGAGAGUCAGUGAGGUUAACAUAGUGAUAUAGGGAGAGUCAGUGAGGUUAUCAUAGUGAUAUAGGGAGAGUCAGUGAGGUUACCACAGUGAUAUAGGGAGAGUCAGUGAGGUUAUCAUAGUGGUAUAGUGAGGGAGAGUCAGUGAGGUUAACAUAGUGAUAUAGGGAGAGUCAGUGAGGUUAACAUAGUGAUAUAGGGAGAGUCAGUGAGGUUAUCAUAGUGAUAUAGGGAGAGUCAGUGAGGUUACCACAGUGAUAUAGGGAGAGUCAGUGAGGUUAUCAUAGUGGUAUAGUGAGGGAGAGUCAGUGAGGUUAUCAUAGUGAUAUAGGGAGAGUCAGUGAGGUUAUCAUAGUGAUAUAGGGAGAGUCAGUGAGGUUACCAUAGUGAUAUAGGGAGAGUCAGUGAGGUUAUCAUAGUGAUAUAGGGAGAGUCAGUGAGGUUAUCAUAGUGGUAUAGUGAGGGAGAGUCAGUGGGGUUAUCAUAGUGGUAUAGUGAGGGAGAGUCAGUGAGGUUACCAUAGUGAUAUAGUGAGGGAGAGUCAGUGAGGUUACCAUAGUGGUAUAGUGAGGGAGAGUCAGUGAGGUUAUCAUAGUGGUUUAGUGAGGGAGAGUCAGUGAGGUUACCAUAGUGAUAUAGGGAGAGUCAGUGAGGUUACCAUAGUGAUAUAGUGAGGGAGAGUCAGUGAGGUUAUCAUAGUGAUAUAGGGAGAGUCAGUGAAUUUAUCAUAGUGAUAUAGGGAGAGUCAGUGAGGUUAUCAUAGUGAUAUAGUGAGGAAGAGUCAGUGAGGUUACCAUAGUGAUAUAGUGAGGGAGAGUCAGUGAGGUUAUCAUUGUGAUAUAGGGAGGGAGAGUCAGUGAGGUUACCAUAGUGAUAUAGGGAGAGUCAGUGAGGUUAUCAUAGUGGUAUAGUGAGGGAGAGUCAGUGAGGUUAUCAUAGUGAUAUAGGGAGAGUCAGUGAGGUUAUCAUAGUGAUAUAGGGAGAGUCAGUGAGGUUACCAUAGUGAUAUAGGGAGAGUCAGUGAGGUUAUCAUAGUGAUAUAGGGAGAGUCAGUGAGGUUAUCAUAGUGAUAUAGUGAGAGUCAGUGGGGUUAUCAUAGUGGUAUAGUGAGGGAGAGUCAGUGAGGUUACCAUAGUGAUAUAGUGAGGGAGAGUCAGUGAGGUUACCAUAGUGGUAUAGUGAGGGAGAGUCAGUGAGGUUAUCAUAGUGGUUUAGUGAGGGAGAGUCAGUGAGGUUACCAUAGUGAUAUAGGGAGAGUCAGUGAGGUUACCAUAGUGAUAUAGUGAGGGAGAGUCAGUGAGGUUAUCAUAGUGAUAUAGGGAGAGUCAGUGAAUUUAUCAUAGUGAUAUAGGGAGAGUCAGUGAGGUUAUCAUAGUGAUAUAGUGAGGAAGAGUCAGUGAGGUUACCAUAGUGAUAUAGUGAGGGAGAGUCAGUGAGGUUAUCAUUGUGAUAUAGGGAGGGAGAGUCAGUGAGGUUACCAUAGUGAUAUAGGGAGAGUCAGUGAGGUUAUCAUAGUGGUAUAGUGAGGGAGAGUCAGUGAGGUUAUCAUAGUGAUAUAGGGAGAGUCAGUGAGGUUACCAUAGUGAUAUAGGGAGAGUCAGUGAGGUUAUCAUAGUGAUAUAGGGAGAGUCAGUGAGGUUAUCAUAGUGAUAUAGGGAGAGUCAGUGAGGUUAUCAUAGUGAUAUAGUGAGAGUCAGUGGGGUUAUCAUAGUGGUAUAGUGAGGGAGAGUCAGUGAGGUUACCAUAGUGAUAUAGUGAGGGAGAGUCAGUGAGGUUACCAUAGUGGUAUAGUGAGGGAGAGUCAGUGAGGUUAUCAUAGUGGUUUAGUGAGGGAGAGUCAGUGAGGUUACCAUAGUGAUAUAGUGAGGGAGAGUCAGUGAGGUUAUCAUAGUGAUAUAGGGAGAGUCAGUGAAGUUAUCAUAGUGAUAUAGGGAGAGUCAGUGAGGUUACCAUAGUGAUAUAGGGAGAGUCAGUGAGGUUAUCAUAGUGAUAUAGGGAGAGUCAGUGAGGUUACCAUAGUGAUAUAGGGAGAGUCAGUGAAGUUAUCAUAGUGAUAUAGGGAGAGUCAGUGAGGUUAUCAUAGUGAUAUAGGGAGGGAGAGUCAGUGAGGUUACCAUAGUGAUAUAGUGAGGGAGAGUCAGUGAGGUUAUCAUAGUGAUAUAGGGAGGGAGAGUCAGUGAGGUUACCAUAGUGAUAUAGGGAGAGUCAGUGAGGUUACCAUAGUGAUAUAGGGAGGGAGAGUCAGUGAGGUUACCACAGUGAUAUAGUGAGAGUCAGUGGGGUUACCAUAGUGAUAUAGGGAGAGUCAGUGAGGUUAUCAUAGUGAUAUAGUGAGGGAGAGUCAGUGAGGUUAUCAUAGUGAUAUAGUGAGGGAGAGUCAGUGAGGUUAUCAUAGUGAUAUAGGGAGGGAGAGUCAGUGAGGUUAUCAUAGUGAUAUAGGGAGAGUCAGUGAGGUUAUCAUAGUGAUAUAGGGAGAGUCAGUGAGGUUAUCAUAGUGAUAAAGGGAGAGUCAGUGAGGUUAUCAUAGUGAUAUAGGGAGAGUCAGUGAGGUUAUCAUAGUGAUAAAGGGAGAGUCAGUGAGGUUAUCAUAGUGAUAAAGGGAGAGUCAGUGAAGUUAUCAUAGUGAUAUAGGGAGUCAGUGAAGUUACCAUAGUGAUAUAGGGAGAGUCAGUGAGGUUAUCAUAGUGAUAUAGGGAGAGUCAGUGAGGUUAUCAUAGUGAUAUAGGGAGAGUCAGUGGGGUUAUCAUAGUGGUAUAGUGAGGGAGAGUCAGUGAGGUUAUCAUAGUGAUAUAGGGAGGGAGAGUCAGUGAGGUUAUCAUAGUGAUAAAGGGAGAGUCAGUGAGGUUAUCAUAGUGAUAAAGGGAGAGUCAGUGAGGUUAUCAUAGUGAUAAAGGGAGAGUCAGUGAAGUUAUCAUAGUGAUAUAGGGAGAGUCAGUGAAGUUACCAUAGUGAUAUAGGGAGAGUCAGUGAGGUUAUCAUAGUGAUAUAGGGAGAGUCAGUGAGGUUAUCAUAGUGAUAUAGGGAGAGUCAGUGAAGUUAUCAUAGUGAUAUAGGGAGAGUCAGUGAGGUUACCAUAGUGAUAUAGGGAGAGUCAGUGAGGUUAUCAUAGUGAUAUAGGGAGAGUCAGUGAGGUUACCAUAGUGAUAUAGGGAGAGUCAGUGAAGUUAUCAUAGUGAUAUAGGGAGAGUCAGUGAGGUUAUCAUAGUGAUAUAGGGAGGGAGAGUCAGUGAGGUUACCAUAGUGAUAUAGUGAGGGAGAGUCAGUGAGGUUAUCAUAGUGAUAUAGGGAGGGAGAGUCAGUGAGGUUACCAUAGUGAUAUAGGGAGAGUCAGUGAGGUUACCAUAGUGAUAUAGGGAGGGAGAGUCAGUGAGGUUACCACAGUGAUAUAGUGAGAGUCAGUGGGGUUACCAUAGUGAUAUAGGGAGAGUCAGUGAGGUUAUCAUAGUGAUAUAGUGAGGGAGAGUCAGUGAGGUUAUCAUAGUGAUAUAGUGAGGGAGAGUCAGUGAGGUUAUCAUAGUGAUAUAGGGAGGGAGAGUCAGUGAGGUUAUCAUAGUGAUAUAGGGAGGGAGAGUCAGUGAGGUUAUCAUAGUGAUAUAGGGAGAGUCAGUGAGGUUAUCAUAGUGAUAUAGGGAGAGUCAGUGAGGUUAUCAUAGUGAUAAAGGGAGAGUCAGUGAGGUUAUCAUAGUGAUAUAGGGAGAGUCAGUGAGGUUAUCAUAGUGAUAAAGGGAGAGUCAGUGAGGUUAUCAUAGUGAUAAAGGGAGAGUCAGUGAAGUUAUCAUAGUGAUAUAGGGAGUCAGUGAAGUUACCAUAGUGACAUAGUGAGGGAGAGUCAGUGAGGUUACCAUAGUGAUAUAGUGAGGGAGAGUCAGUGAGGUUAUCAUAGUGAUAUAGGGAGAGUCAGUGAAGUUAUCAUAGUGAUAUAGGGAGAGUCAGUGAGGUUAUCAUAGUGAUAUAGGGAGAGUCAGUGAAGUUACCAUAGUGAUAUAGGGAGAGUCAGUGAGGUUAUCAUAGUGAUAUAGGGAGAGUCAGUGAGGUUAUCAUAGUGAUAUAGGGAGAGUCAGUGGGGUUAUCAUAGUGGUAUAGUGAGGGAGAGUCAGUGAGGUUAUCAUAGUGAUAUAGGGAGGGAGAGUCAGUGAGGUUAUCAUAGUGAUAAAGGGAGAGUCAGUGAGGUUAUCAUAGUGAUAAAGGGAGAGUCAGUGAGGUUAUCAUAGUGAUAAAGGGAGAGUCAGUGAAGUUAUCAUAGUGAUAUAGGGAGAGUCAGUGAAGUUACCAUAGUGAUAUAGGGAGAGUCAGUGAGGUUAUCAUAGUGAUAUAGGGAGAGUCAGUGAGGUUAUCAUAGUGAUAUAGGGAGAGUCAGUGAAGUUAUCAUAGUGAUAUAGGGAGAGUCAGUGAGGUUACCAUAGUGAUAUAGGGAGAGUCAGUGAGGUUAUCAUAGUGAUAUAGGGAGAGUCAGUGAGGUUACCAUAGUGAUAUAGGGAGAGUCAGUGAAGUUAUCAUAGUGAUAUAGGGAGAGUCAGUGAGGUUAUCAUAGUGAUAUAGGGAGGGAGAGUCAGUGAGGUUACCAUAGUGAUAUAGUGAGGGAGAGUCAGUGAGGUUAUCAUAGUGAUAUAGGGAGGGAGAGUCAGUGAGGUUACCAUAGUGAUAUAGGGAGAGUCAGUGAGGUUACCAUAGUGAUAUAGGGAGGGAGAGUCAGUGAGGUUACCACAGUGAUAUAGUGAGAGUCAGUGGGGUUACCAUAGUGAUAUAGGGAGAGUCAGUGAGGUUAUCAUAGUGAUAUAGUGAGGGAGAGUCAGUGAGGUUACCAUAGUGAUAUAGGGAGAGUCAGUGAGGUUAUCAUAGUGAUAUAGGGAGAGUCAGUGAGGUUACCAUAGUGAUAUAGGGAGAGUCAGUGAGGUUAUCAUAGUGAUAUAGGGAGAGUCAGUGAGGUUAUCAUAGUGAUAUAGUGAGAGUCAGUGGGGUUAUCAUAGUGGUAUAGUGAGGGAGAGUUAGUGAGGUUACCAUAGUGAUAUAGUGAGGGAGAGUCAGUGAGGUUACCAUAGUGACAUAGUGAGGGAGAGUCAGUGAGGUUACCAUAGUGAUAUAGUGAGGGAGAGUCAGUGAGGUUAUCAUAGUGAUAUAGGGAGGGAGAGUCAGUGAGGUUAUCAUUGUGAUAUAGGGAGGGAGAGUCAGUGAGGUUACCAUAGUGAUAUAGGGAGAGUCAGUGAGGUUAUCAUAGUGGUAUAGUGAGGGAGAGUCAGUGAGGUUAACAUAGUGAUAUAGGGAGAGUCAGUGAGGUUAACAUAGUGAUAUAGGGAGAGUCAGUGAGGUUAUCAUAGUGAUAUAGGGAGAGUCAGUGAGGUUACCACAGUGAUAUAGGGAGAGUCAGUGAGGUUAUCAUAGUGGUAUAGUGAGGGAGAGUCAGUGAGGUUAACAUAGUGAUAUAGGGAGAGUCAGUGAGGUUAACAUAGUGAUAUAGGGAGAGUCAGUGAGGUUAUCAUAGUGAUAUAGGGAGAGUCAGUGAGGUUACCACAGUGAUAUAGGGAGAGUCAGUGAGGUUAUCAUAGUGGUAUAGUGAGGGAGAGUCAGUGAGGUUAACAUAGUGAUAUAGGGAGAGUCAGUGAGGUUAACAUAGUGAUAUAGGGAGAGUCAGUGAGGUUAUCAUAGUGAUAUAGGGAGAGUCAGUGAGGUUACCACAGUGAUAUAGGGAGAGUCAGUGAGGUUAUCAUAGUGGUAUAGUGAGGGAGAGUCAGUGAGGUUAACAUAGUGAUAUAGGGAGAGUCAGUGAGGUUAACAUAGUGAUAUAGGGAGAGUCAGUGAGGUUACCAUAGUGAUAUAGGGAGAGUCAGUGAGGUUAUCAUAGUGAUAUAGUGAGGGAGAGUCAGUGAGGUUAUCAUAGUGAUAUAGGGAGAGUCAGUGAGGUUAUCAUAGUGAUAUAGGGAGAGUCAGUGAGGUUAUCAUAGUGAUAAAGGGAGAGUCAGUGAGGUUAUCAUAGUGAUAUAGGGAGAGUCAGUGAGGUUAUCAUAGUGAUAAAGGGAGAGUCAGUGAGGUUAUCAUAGUGAUAU
This is a long non-coding RNA of Oncorhynchus keta (chum salmon), 6233 nucleotides long. RefSeq lists it as uncharacterized. The transcript has 14 exons. Lineage: Eukaryota; Metazoa; Chordata; Actinopteri; Salmoniformes; Salmonidae. The record is from RefSeq and is a predicted model, not a curated record.